RNAcentral lists this long non-coding RNA (320 nucleotides) under Felis catus (domestic cat). RNAcentral describes it as "lncRNA (ENSFCAG00000050688.1)". The record is from RNAcentral. Lineage: Eukaryota; Metazoa; Chordata; Mammalia; Carnivora; Felidae.
CACCGCCCCUGCGGUCCGCCUCCGAACCGCGCGGUGGGGCGGGGCGGCCCCGGGAGCCGACCCCGCCCCGGAAGUCCUUGUCUGCGUGCUGGCUUACCCCCCAGGACGGGCAGCUCACCACUCUUCCUGCCAGGACAGAUCUGUUUCAGAGGCGUACCCUUCUGUCUGUGGCGAAAAGCUCACGUUUCACUGGAAGUAGGACCCACGGCAGAAACAACAGGACUCACAGGAUUGGCGCACAGAAAACAAAACAAAACACCUGUUCCGCCCAAAAUAGUUCUCUCAAGAAGCGUGAAAUACAAGUUCUGAGCGAUCAGACA